Molecule: ribosomal RNA, 429 nt
Filed under: Bacteroidota bacterium
Lineage: Bacteria; Pseudomonadati; Bacteroidota
Description: Bacteroidetes bacterium partial 16S ribosomal RNA
Rfam family: Bacterial small subunit ribosomal RNA
Source: RNAcentral
UAGGGAAUCUUCGGCAAUGGGGGGAACCCUGACCGAGCAACGCCGCGUGAGUGAAGAAGGUUUUCGGAUCGUAAAGCUCUGUUGUUAAGGAAGAACGAGUGUGAGAAUGGAAAGUUCAUACUGUGACGGUACUUAACCAGAAAGGGACGGCUAACUACGUGCCAGCAGCCGCGGUAAUACGUAGGUCCCGAGCGUUGUCCGGAUUUAUUGGGCGUAAAGCGAGCGCAGGCGGUUAGAAAAGUCUGAAGUGAAAGGCAGUGGCUCAACCAUUGUAGGCUUUGGAAACUGUUUAACUUGAGUGCAGAAGGGGAGAGUGGAAUUCCAUGUGUAGCGGUGAAAUGCGUAGAUAUAUGGAGGAACACCAGUGGCGAAGGCGGCUCUCUGGUCUGUAACUGACGCUGAGGCUCGAAAGCGUGGGGAGCGAACAGG